AAAUUGAAGAGUUUGAUCAUGGCUCAGAUUGAACGCUGGCGGCAGGCCUAACACAUGCAAGUCGAACGGUAACAGGAAGCAGCUUGCUGCUUUGCUGACGAGUGGCGGACGGGUGAGUAAUGUCUGGGAAACUGCCUGAUGGAGGGGGAUAACUACUGGAAACGGUGGCUAAUACCGCAUAACGUCGCAAGACCAAAGAGGGGGACCUUCGGGCCUCUUGCCAUCAGAUGUGCCCAGAUGGGAUUAGCUUGUUGGUGAGGUAACGGCUCACCAAGGCGACGAUCCCUAGCUGGUCUGAGAGGAUGACCAGCCACACUGGAACUGAGACACGGUCCAGACUCCUACGGGAGGCAGCAGUGGGGAAUAUUGCACAAUGGGCGCAAGCCUGAUGCAGCCAUGCCGCGUGUAUGAAGAAGGCCUUCGGGUUGUAAAGUACUUUCAGCGGGGAGGAAGGUGUUGUGGUUAAUAACCACAGCAAUUGACGUUACCCGCAGAAGAAGCACCGGCUAACUCCGUGCCAGCAGCCGCGGUAAUACGGAGGGUGCAAGCGUUAAUCGGAAUUACUGGGCGUAAAGCGCACGCAGGCGGUCUGUCAAGUCGGAUGUGAAAUCCCCGGGCUCAACCUGGGAACUGCAUUCGAAACUGGCAGGCUUGAGUCUUGUAGAGGGGGGUAGAAUUCCAGGUGUAGCGGUGAAAUGCGUAGAGAUCUGGAGGAAUACCGGUGGCGAAGGCGGCCCCCUGGACAAAGACUGACGCUCAGGUGCGAAAGCGUGGGGAGCAAACAGGAUUAGAUACCCUGGUAGUCCACGCCGUAAACGAUGUCUACUUGGAGGUUGUGCCCUUGAGGCGUGGCUUCCGGAGCUAACGCGUUAAGUAGACCGCCUGGGGAGUACGGCCGCAAGGUUAAAACUCAAAUGAAUUGACGGGGGCCCGCACAAGCGGUGGAGCAUGUGGUUUAAUUCGAUGCAACGCGAAGAACCUUACCUGGUCUUGACAUCCACAGAACUUUCCAGAGAUGGACUGGUGCCUUCGGGAACUGUGAGACAGGUGCUGCAUGGCUGUCGUCAGCUCGUGUUGUGAAAUGUUGGGUUAAGUCCCGCAACGAGCGCAACCCUUAUCCUUUGUUGCCAGCGAUUAGGUCGGGAACUCAAAGGAGACUGCCAGUGAUAAACUGGAGGAAGGUGGGGAUGACGUCAAGUCAUCAUGGCCCUUACGACCAGGGCUACACACGUGCUACAAUGGCGCAUACAAAGAGAAGCGACCUCGCGAGAGCAAGCGGACCUCAUAAAGUGCGUCGUAGUCCGGAUUGGAGUCUGCAACUCGACUCCAUGAAGUCGGAAUCGCUAGUAAUCGUGGAUCAGAAUGCCACGGUGAAUACGUUCCCGGGCCUUGUACACACCGCCCGUCACACCAUGGGAGUGGGUUGCAAAAGAAGUAGGUAGCUUAACCUUCGGGAGGGCGCUUACCACUUUGUGAUUCAUGACUGGGGUGAAGUCGUAACAAGGUAACCGUAGGGGAACCUGC
RNAcentral lists this ribosomal RNA (1524 nucleotides) under Salmonella enterica subsp. enterica. RNAcentral's name for it is "bacterial SSU rRNA". It matches the Rfam family "Bacterial small subunit ribosomal RNA". The record is from RNAcentral. Lineage: Bacteria; Pseudomonadati; Pseudomonadota; Gammaproteobacteria; Enterobacterales; Enterobacteriaceae.